This 654-nucleotide ribosomal RNA is filed under the name Staphylococcus aureus. RNAcentral describes it as "bacterial SSU rRNA". It matches the Rfam family "Bacterial small subunit ribosomal RNA", at positions 33 to 668 of the family's 1533-position model. The record is from RNAcentral. Lineage: Bacteria; Bacillati; Bacillota; Bacilli; Caryophanales; Staphylococcaceae.
GUGCUAUUGCGGGUGCUAUACAUGCAAGUCGAGCGAACAGAUAAGGAGCUUGCUCCUUUGACGUUAGCGGCGGACGGGUGAGUAACACGUGGGUAACCUACCUAUAAGACUGGAAUAACUCCGGGAAACCGGGGCUAAUGCCGGAUAACAUUUAGAACCGCAUGGUUCUAAAGUGAAAGAUGGUUUUGCUAUCACUUAUAGAUGGACCCGCGCCGUAUUAGCUAGUUGGUAAGGUAACGGCUUACCAAGGCAACGAUACGUAGCCGACCUGAGAGGGUGAUCGGCCACACUGGAACUGAGACACGGUCCAGACUCCUACGGGAGGCAGCAGUAGGGAAUCUUCCGCAAUGGGCGAAAGCCUGACGGAGCAACGCCGCGUGAGUGAUGAAGGUCUUCGGAUCGUAAAACUCUGUUAUUAGGGAAGAACAAAUGUGUAAGUAACUGUGCACGUCUUGACGGUACCUAAUCAGAAAGCCACGGCUAACUACGUGCCAGCAGCCGCGGUAAUACGUAGGUGGCAAGCGUUAUCCGGAAUUAUUGGGCGUAAAGCGCGGGUAGGCGGCUUCUUAAUUCUGAUGUGUAAGCCCCCGUCUCACCCGCGCAGGGUGUUUGAAUACCUGGAAGACUUUGCUUGCCGCACCGGGGGGCGGCGCC